CCUCGGGGAAGGUGGAAAUGGGCGGGGACGACGUCAAGUCAUCAUGGCCCUUACGACCAGGGCUACACACGUGCUACAAUGGUCGGUACAAAGGGUUGCACCCAGCGAUGAGGAGCUAAUCUCAAGAAAGCCGAUCGUAGUUCCGGAUUGGAGUCUGCAACUCGACUCCAUGAAGUCGGAAUCGCUAGUAAUCGCGGAUCAGAAUGCCGCGGUGAAUACGUUCCCGGGCCUUGUACACACCGCCCGUCACACCAUGGGAGUUUGUUGCACCAGAAGUAGGUAGUCUAACCGUCAGGAGACGCGUCCACGUGUGCCGAG
This 318-nucleotide ribosomal RNA is filed under the name Acinetobacter sp. 10B. RNAcentral's name for it is "bacterial SSU rRNA". It matches the Rfam family "Bacterial small subunit ribosomal RNA", at positions 1152 to 1471 of the family's 1533-position model. Lineage: Bacteria; Pseudomonadati; Pseudomonadota; Gammaproteobacteria; Moraxellales; Moraxellaceae. The record is from RNAcentral.